UGCAUUCACUACUGUAAGUUGCUCUGGAUAAGAGUGUCUGCUAAAUGACUGAAA
Salmo salar (Atlantic salmon) is the source of this 54-nucleotide non-coding RNA. Lineage: Eukaryota; Metazoa; Chordata; Actinopteri; Salmoniformes; Salmonidae. The record is from Rfam.